AAGUCGUAACAAGGUCUCCGUAGGUGAGUUUACGAGAAAUCCUUUUACGAAGUGAGAGAAUAUACGCUAACAGGUUUCAAAGGUGAACCUGCGGAGGGAUCAUUACAGAGUGAAGACUUUCAAAUAUGAAGUCGAUCUCCAAACCUAUGUCUUCCAAUACUGUUCGUCGGCGGUUAUCGGCCCUUGGGGGGACGCCCCCUUGGAAUGAGCUGUCGACAUUCUUUUUAAACGCUGUUUUUGCAAUACUGCAGUCUGAAUUCAAGUUGGGAAAAUCAUUAAACAAAACUUUCAACAACGGAUCUCUUGGUUUUGGCAUCGAUGAAGAACGCAGCGAAAUGCGAUAAGUAAUGUGAAUUGCAGACUCAGUGAAUCAUCGAAUCUUUGAACGCACAUUGCGCCCUCUGGUAUUCCGGAGGGCAUGCUCGUUCGAGCGUCAUUACACCUCUCAAGCCUCGCUUGGUAUUGGAAGAAGUGGAAUUCACCAGCCACUCUUCUUGAAUCGACCGGCCAUUAUCUUCAAUCUCUGGCGUUGUGCAAACAAAAUCGCUUGUAGCUCUUGAAAUAUUGACUGCCGUUAAGCCUUUUUAUUAUCAAAGGUUGACCUCGAAUCGAGUAGGGAUACCCGCUGAACUUAA
Molecule: ribosomal RNA, 635 nt
Filed under: uncultured fungus
Lineage: Eukaryota; Fungi
Description: eukaryotic LSU rRNA
Rfam family: 5.8S ribosomal RNA (bases 284-436)
Source: RNAcentral